This 460-nucleotide ribosomal RNA is filed under the name uncultured bacterium. RNAcentral describes it as "partial 16S ribosomal RNA". It matches the Rfam family "Bacterial small subunit ribosomal RNA", at positions 338 to 795 of the family's 1533-position model. The record is from RNAcentral.
CCUACGGGUGGCAGCAGUGAGGAAUAUUGGUCAAUGGGCGAGAGCCUGAACCAGCAAAGUCGCGUGAGCGAAGACGGUCCUAUGGAUUGUAAACCUCUUUAGCCGGGGAGCAAUGCCGGGCACGCGUGCCCGGAGGGAGAGUACCCGCAGAGUCAGCAUCGGCUAACUCCGUGCCAGCAGCCGCGGUAAUACGGAGGAUGCGAGCGUUAUCCGGAUUUAGUGGGUUUAAAGGGUGCAUAGGUGGAUUUUUAAGUCAGCGGUAAAAUGUCCGGGCUCAACCCGGGCCGGCCGUUGAAACUGGGGAUCUUGAGUGGGCGAGAAGUAUGCGGAAUGCGUGGUGUAGCGGUGAAAUGCAUAGAUAUCACGAAGAACUCCGAUUGCGAAGGCAGCACACCGGCGCCCGACUGACGCUGAGGCACGAAAGCGUGGGGAUCGAACAGGAUUAGAUACCCUAGUAGUC